UAUGCCAUUUUGAGAAAGUCAUCAUCCACCA
This 31-nucleotide non-coding RNA is filed under the name Mus musculus (house mouse). The record is from RNAcentral. Lineage: Eukaryota; Metazoa; Chordata; Mammalia; Rodentia; Muridae.